GAUGAAGAAAGUAGCGAAAUGCGAUAAGUAAUGUGAAUUGCAGAAUUCAGUGAAUCAUCGAAUCUUUGAACGCACAUUGCGCCCGCCAGUAUUCUGGCGGGCAUGCCUGUUCGAGCGUCAUUUCAACCAUCAAGCCCCAGGCUUGUGUUGGGGACCUGCGGCUGCCGCAGGCCCUGAAAACCAGUGGCGGGCUCGCUGUCACACCGGGCGUAGUAGAUUUUAUCUCGCUCAGGGCGUGCUGCGGGUUCCGGCCGUUAAAAAGCCUUUUUUACCCAAGGUUGACCUCGGAUCAGGUAGGAAGACCCGCUGAACUUAAGCAUAUCAAUAAGCGGAGGA
Molecule: unclassified non-coding RNA, 336 nt
Filed under: soil metagenome
Description: partial contains 5.8S ribosomal RNA, internal transcribed spacer 2, and large subunit ribosomal RNA
Rfam family: 5.8S ribosomal RNA (bases 1-120)
Source: RNAcentral